GCCGAGGUGGUGGAAUUGGUAGACGCGCAGCCUUGAGGUGGCUGUGUCCUAACGGACGUGCGGGUUCAAGUCCCGCUCUCGGCACCA
This 87-nucleotide transfer RNA is filed under the name Shewanella sp. Its description in RNAcentral is "tRNA-Leu". It matches the Rfam family "tRNA". Rfam says of the family: Transfer RNA (tRNA) molecules are approximately 80 nucleotides in length. Their secondary structure includes four short double-helical elements and three loops (D, anti-codon, and T loops). RNAcentral also lists the same sequence under 16 other names. The record is from RNAcentral. Lineage: Bacteria; Pseudomonadati; Pseudomonadota; Gammaproteobacteria; Alteromonadales; Shewanellaceae.